UCGUAUCUCCACGACCGUAACUCCGAUUGAGGUGAAACCAACGCUCACUUCUUCGUAUCAUCAAGAUAUUUCUAUUGGUAACAUUUUAACUAGGUGGUACCAUAGUGAAAAUGACCAUUUUGCCCUUGCUUCUAAUCAGCCCCUCCGAGAGAAAAUCGUCCGACAUUUCGCUUUGCGGCUUCACCGCACUUCUUCCCGGAGUCUCUGUCGCCCCCAGGCAAGCCAGAACAGCCACUUGCAUGGUAGCCAUAAAGUAUCCAUGGUUUCUACUUUAAUAUUUAAUAAAAGUUUGCCUGUUAUCUGUCUGCUUGUUUGCUACUACUGUUGUUGUUUCGGUUAUGCUCGUGGUUUCAUGUUCACCUUCACGCUAUGUUCCGAUGCAUCUUGUUAUCUUGUACUACUUGCUAGUAUUAUUUUCUCAUGUUAUGCUUGGUAGUAGUAGCACAUGCUAGUAGCAGUGAUGUUCUUCCUGAUGCAUGCUUGUUUAUCAAAGUACCGUUGUUAUGCAUGUUCCUUUGCAUCUAGUUGGUCACAUGCUUACUUGGUAGUGUUCUUGCUAUUUUCUUGCACGGUAUUUAUUUAUGAUGCUAGUAGUCAUGCUAUGCUCAUGUGUAACAUUAUGCCUAUGCUCGUCGGUAUGCCAUGCUCACAUGGUUUAAUGCUUCAUUGUGGUUAUGCUCGAUGGUUAUGUUGCACCUCCAUGCUUAUGUUGAUACCAUGCUCAUGCAUUGUAGCUGCAUCAUGUUAUUUUAAUAUGGCUCAGCUCAUUGCAUUCAAAUUUAACUGAAUAAUAAUGAACUUGAACAACUGUUGGCUGAGUCAUGGUGCCACCAAAUCGAGCUGACCAGUGCAACCACAUUUGCCUUUUUUGGGAAGGCCCUAAUGUUGUCUAUUGUCAUGCCUCUCGCCGGUGCCUCCAAAGAGGGAAGGUUAUGGGCGCGCGCUACCCUGAUCAGGUAGGCGGACAUAAACCUUGUGUGCUCGUUGUUGUUGUUUUGAUACUGGGUCCCCAUUUGGGAUCGUUUAUGUUUGGCCACGAUGGUGGCGUUGGAUGUCACGGGUUGACAUCGGGGCCACCCAUGGCUUAGCCCAAAGGGGAGUUGGUCAGAGUGGCCAGGAGAGUGUCAUGGCAAUGGGUUGGUUUUGCCAGAACGCCGUUGGUCCACCCGAAUGGGAGUGCGAGGCCAUGGGUUCCGUGGUGUGGGUACAGUGUACUAAACUCUGCCGAAUGUGUGUUUAAAUCUAUCGAUAGCCGCGCCCGUGGAUAUGGGCCCAGUUCGUAGUCGGUCACACUAUGAGCCAACUAUAGUAAUAACUUGAUUAAUAAUAACCCCGGUUCGAUGAUGAGAAAGAGAUUGGUUGUGAUCGAGGGAGGAUCACGGAGGUAUCGUGGAUACCGAAGUUGGUUGAUCUUUAUGUGAUCGCAAGAUGAUCACAGAGGUAUCAUGGAUAACGAUGUGGGUGAGUGGAUGUAUGAGAUGGUUACGAGGUAACUGCCGAACAAGAGUAAGUUGGUGCAUGAUAUGGUUUACCUGUUGCAUGUAGUAUCAUCAUGAUUAUAUGCUGAGGUCAUGCUAAUGUUAUUUUAGCCGUAUCAUGUUUAGUUUUUGCAUGCCAUGUAUCAUGUUCAUGAUUGCUUUAACCUGCUAAUGCCAUGUUGUUGUUUGUCUUGACUGCUUUUGGUUUAUUGUGAGCUUGCAAGUACAUUCAAUGUACUGACCUGGCGUGUCAUGCCAGUUUGCAGGUCGUGCCUGGAUUGCUUGCUUGUUUGGUGUGGUUCUUGUGUUCGCGAGCUAGGAUAAACGUUCCAGCCAGAGUCCCUGCGGAUUGGAGUCCAUCAUUGUCGUUCGUUGUUCCGCUGCCAGUAGAGGUUCAGCUGCCUCGAGUUGUUAUGCUACUUGCAUAGAGCAACUGUGGUUGGCGUAGCGUCGUCAUGCCGAUGUUAUUCAUUGUAAUAUCGGAGACCUUGUAUUCGUAUUCGUAUUGUAAUAGAGAGCUGGUUUGUUCUAUGCUAAGUAGUGAUGUAUUCCAGAAGACUUCACCUUGAUCUCCAGGCUGGAAUACGGGGCAUUCCGGUUUCUCUGAGCCGGGUGCCACAGGGCUUGGUAUGAGAGCAGGUCUGGAUGUAGAGUGUCCUAGUCUGCAUGAACAUUAGAAAAAGGUAGUAUAGGGUCUGGUUGUUGCCCUUGCUUGUUGCAUUUAUUUGCUGCAUAUAGUCUUAUUCGGUUACCCCUAACCCCUGUUUCAUGCGUAGAUGGCGGUCAGCUUCCACGAGUUCAAUGCCAUCCCCAGAGCUCCCGGUGUUGUUCCUAUUGCGUUCAGUCCC
This 2326-nucleotide long non-coding RNA is filed under the name Triticum aestivum (bread wheat). Its description in RNAcentral is "long non-coding RNA (TAES_LNC000118)". Lineage: Eukaryota; Viridiplantae; Streptophyta; Magnoliopsida; Poales; Poaceae. The record is from RNAcentral.